This 80-nucleotide transfer RNA is filed under the name Wolfiporia cocos MD-104 SS10. RNAcentral's name for it is "Wolfiporia cocos (strain MD-104) (brown rot fungus) tRNA". It matches the Rfam family "tRNA". From Rfam's summary of the family: Transfer RNA (tRNA) molecules are approximately 80 nucleotides in length. Their secondary structure includes four short double-helical elements and three loops (D, anti-codon, and T loops). Further hydrogen bonds mediate the characteristic L-shaped molecular structure. tRNAs have two regions of fundamental functional importance: the anti-codon, which is responsible for specific mRNA codon recognition, and the 3' end, to which the tRNAs corresponding amino acid is attached (by aminoacyl-tRNA synthetases). tRNAs cope with the degeneracy of the genetic code in two manners: having more than one tRNA (with a specific anti-codon) for a particular amino acid; and 'wobble' base-pairing, i.e. permitting non-standard base-pairing at the 3rd anti-codon position. Lineage: Eukaryota; Fungi; Basidiomycota; Agaricomycetes; Polyporales; Phaeolaceae. The record is from Rfam by way of RNAcentral.
UCCGAUAUGGUGUAGUGGCUAACAUUAUCGCCUCUCAUCUAGGAACGCGAUAGCCCGGGGUUCGAUUCCCCGUGUCGGAA